AUCAGCACCUGGCAUUGGCAGGGAAUAGGAACCCUCACACCUGGUGGACAUGGCCAUCAGCACCCAGCCUUGCCAGAGACAGGAAAGCUCCUCACGCUUGGCCCUUGCAGCAAUGAGCACCAAUACCCCAGCUGCAGGGUGUGGUGGGAUUCUAUAAACACUGCACACUGUGCUCCAGGCCCUAUGCUCCAUAUGGGAGAGGCUGUUAUGGGUUCUCCACAUCCCCAUGGAUGUCACUGGCCAGGGGACCCUCUCCCAGGACAUGGUGCUCAAAAAUGCACAGCCCCAAAAUGGUGCUGGGUGUCCUGAGUAAACCAGAUGGCUUGACUGGUUUGGGGUUUUUGGUGCUCUAUCCUGAAGCCCCAAUAAGAUGGGAAAUACCUCUGAGUGUUGUGUAACUGGUUGUACUGGACCUUGUAGGCUGUGGUGCUCCUAUUUGCUUGGGAUAAACCACACUCCUUGGAACAAGUCCAUGUCAGGAACAAAGAAGCUGAUGUUCGUCUUUAUCUGUUGAUCAGAAGCCUAGACUUCUGCCUCAUCUGACACCAGUGAAAGCAGCUGUUCUCUGGUGACAAUUUCCUCUAACGCCUUUUAAUCCUAGCUAUUAUCCCAGGGUUCCCAGUGCUGUUGUCAGGCUGCAGGAUUUGGGGAGGUUUGCUCAGCCAAGGUGGGACUUGCUGUGCGAGGCUGGUGGUGCCUCUCUGGCAGGACAUGCUCGGGCCCAUUGCCAUCGUGUCCCUUCAUGAACAGUUUCAUGUCACACUGUGUUAGCAUCAGCAACGCUGGGGAUGAUGUCAAGUGGUAAAUAAAGAGCAAAUGAAAGCCUGCAGCACAAAGAAACUAAUUUGGAGCAUCCUGGAAAUAUCCUCUCCAGGAUCCUGUCUAAGGCCAGUAUUCCCCAAAGCUGCAGAAUUCCUAUUCCUACUUCUAUUCCUUAUUCCUAUUCCUAGCACCUAUUUCCCACUGCAGUUUAUGCACUUGGGGAGGUGCCAGUGAACACCUUGGGGAGAGGGAAGAAAAAGAGAAAACGAAGCACAACCCCCCAUGACUAAUCCAUGUCUGGGUUUUUCCUUUUUGUAAGGAGACCGUGCCAAGCAGAACUGGAGCAUUUUGGAGCAGUGCUUUGAGCUUUUUGCCUACCACAGGUUUUUCCAGGGAGCAGCAAGAGUUUCUGUGAAGUUUCCCUGCACUUGGUGACCCAAAUCUCUACACUUCCGACUUCCUUCCAGAUUUGGGAGCACAAAGAGAGAGUCUGACCCCAGCAGGUCAUCAGGAGUUCUGCCUUGGAUUAGGGUGAAGAUUGGCAUUUUCCUAAUGGACAAGAUUUCACUUGUUCUGCACAACGUUAAAUCCAAGCAUCCUUUUCCUGGUGAUUGCAGAAUGUCCACUGGGAGCUCUUAGCAAUUUUCAGCUCCCUGUGAUGCUGCUGCCUGCCCAGUGCAAGUCAAGGAAGAGACAUUGCACUUGGUCCAGGUCGAGACUGAUCGUGUUAAAGGAUUUAAAUUUCAGUUUCUGGAAGCAUGAGCUGCUUUCAUUAAUGUUUUGGGCAACAACUGGAGUGUUGGCCUGGGGAGGGAGAGCUGGUCAGAAAAUGAAUGGAUUUUUCUCAGCUAAAUGGGAAGCAGCAAAGAGUGGAUGUAUGUGACAGCAAAUACAAUGAGUGCACAGUCCUGUAAGUGUUCCCCUCAGGGUCCCUCGUGGAGUGCAGUGUGAGCCCAAAGCUAUGGGAUAUACAUUGUUCCCCUAGACUUCCUAAAAGGGGACAUUCACCCAGCUCCAGACAUUCCAGCUGUGUCCAUGGCUGUUUUGUGAUGCUCCUCAUGCCCAAGGGUGCCCAUGACUACGCUGUAGUGGUUCAAAAGCUCAGGCACAGGGAGGCAUUUGCAGGAAUUCAGUCUGGAAUUGCAUGUGCCUCCUUCUCCUGGAGAGUCUGGCUUUGCUUCCAACAGAACAGCUCAACCCAUUACACUCCCCAAAUCCAAGACAAUUACUUCUCUUUAGUAAGUUUUCUAAAAUACUUCAAUGGAGAAAAUUAAUGCUUCAGAAAAAUUUUAUGGACCAACUUUAGUGGUUGAAAACAGAAGCUCUUUUACCACAUUAGCCAUAGUAGAUGUUGUUUGUCUCAGUCUAAUAUAUGGAUGUGGUGUUUAAUUUAACUGGAGCAGAGCUACAGGGCUUUAUAAUUUUAGUUCUUGUGCUGAGGGUGCCUGGUGUAACUCCCUGAGGCUCAGGAGGGAAUGGCACUUGGGCUUGGAUAGUUUCUUUCCCAACUCAGUUUUUAAGAUGACAAGGUGGGGAUGAAGAAGUGCAAGCACCAAUGCAUCCUUCUGCCCUUCAGGUAUUUCAGAAGAUGUUCUGCCUUUAAAGAAGCUGAUUUGGCCCCUUGUUAAAUAACAAGCUGUGGGACCUGACCAGCAAGUCCUGGGGAGGAGAAAGUAACUCCUUUGGUUUAAAAGGCCAGUAAUUUGUAGUUGUACUUAGGAAAAUGCUUUAAGCAAAAUAAUAAUCUAGAGAUCUGCUGCAAGUGGAGACACUCCCCAUAUCCACUCCUGUUCUUUUAUUUUACCAUUAGGAAAACAUCCUGUUGCCAGUACACAUUUUGUUGCUCCAUCUCACAGCCAUUUGCUAACAUUGUAAUUUUUCCUAAACCAAGAGUAAACCCUGUGUUGGACCACAUGAGAUCCAUGAAGGUUGGACCUGAUGAUCUUGGAGGUCUCUCCAACCUCAGUGAUUCUGUGAUGUGAAGGAGCAACCAAAGUCCCCGUGUGCAGGAUGGAACAUGUGGAGGAUCCAGGGGCAGGGAAGGAGCCUUGCUGGGGAUCUCAUCCAGUCCCUGGAGAUUUUCCUCUUUUUCUCUGUUAUUUGCAUAUUUCAUAGCAUCCAUCAUCACCUCCACACAGGGCAGAGGAGACACAGAGAACCCAAAGGUUUUGGCACUUGGCUCCUUGUUUUUUCCUGCCUGUCUUUUCCAGCCUUCCCCAAGGAUUAUAUUGUAGGACCCCAGUUGUGGCCUUUCUGCUCGUGGUGCUCCACAAGGCAGAAGAUCCAACACGCUCCCUGAGGCUUUCAGCACCACUCUGAGGUUUCAGACCAGAUUGGGCACAUUACACAAAUCUCUUUACUAUGGAACUGACAGAUUGUGUUUUCAUGGUGAGUGUUUUCACAAGAAACACCCCAAAAUCCAGGCUCAGCACGAGACACCUGAGCAGUCUGUACACUCCCUUUCCCACAGUAACCUGUUAAUGUGCUUCAUGUGCAAUUCAGGUUACUCAUAAAUAAUUCUCUCUGCAAAUCAGACACAUAUAAAUUAUUCUCUGUAAUUGAAAAUUACCUAUGAAUUAUUCUGUUUGUAAUUCAUAGAUAUGUCAUUUAUUCUCUAAUAUAUUGACAUUGCUUUCUUGGAUAGAUAUGCCUGGGGCUGACAGUAACAGGAUGAUUUCCAAAGGCCAGGGCAAUAUCAUACAGUGUGAGCUCAUUUGGGAUAUUCUGACAAGAUAGGGAUGGUCUUGUGUGAAGAAAUUCCAUGUACAGGUCCAGAAAGGGCACUCAGUGCAUUAUGAAGUUAUUUGGUAUUGUAUAGAAUUUGACCCUAACAUUGCAAAGAUUGUAUAAUUUUUAAGGUCUUUCUAAAGUUAUUUAUUUUAUAAGCUAACUUGUAAGUAACUUCUAGUUCUGACUCUUCCAAAGGCACUGCAGAUGCACAGAAGGAGAUUCCCUCUGUUCCCUUCCCCUCUCAGCUCUUGUGAAGUAAUUGGAGGCAAACUGACUUUACCUGGCUCUUUGUGUGUCAGAGGGACAUUAGCAGGGUCUCUUAACACUGAUUAAUUACCUUUGGUAGGUGCUGUACUGUAAACAAGCAGUGAUAGUGCAGAAAAUUCAUCGCCAGUCAACAGAAAUGGAAAGCCCAGAGCAAACAUAAUGAGCGAUAACUAAUUAUCAACACAUGCUCCAGUUACUUAAUAGCUCUUUCCCUGAGAUUUGCACUGGGUGUCUGCUACUGCAGACACCCAGCUUCUCCUUUUCAGUGCUUCCCAGUAUUGCACCCAUGACAGCCUGAAAGCAAUUUUCUCAAUUUAUUUGUUUACAGGUAUAGAAAGAGAUUUUUCUUGACUGAGAGGCUCUGCUCAAAUAAAAUUCUCACUGGUCCAGCUCCUUCCUCACGGAGCUCAACACAGAGCCAGGCUUUGCCUGCUGAGUAGGCUCAGCUCCUGGGGUCACACCAAAUCUCUCUGCCCAGGCUCAGACUGGUUUUGAGAUACUCAGCAGUUUUCAGAACCAAUCCCCUCUGCUCACAGAGAAAAUCCACUCUGGACCUGCUCAGCCCUCUGCUUGCACCCCCAUGGAGCUCUGGCAUCCUCUGUCCAGUUGGCAUUAAGUGGCCACAGAGCACUGAGUCAGAUCUGUGAGUGUUCCAGCCCAGAAACUCAGAAAAAGCAUUCUGGCCUCACGUAGUGCCAGAUCCCAAUAAUAUUUGUGUGUAAUGUCUCUAGAAUAUGUCUGUGGCUCAGAAACAGAUGGUCUUGGGAAGAGUCAUUCCUGGUGCUGUGGAAAGCUUCAGGGAUUCACACGUGCAGUUCCCAGGAGGAGAAGCUGCCUGUCCUAUUGGAGCUGUGAUUGAUGUGUUUCUGCUGCAAGACUCAGCCCUGGAAGUUUGUCCUCCCAGGAAUCUGCCUCAUUAAUUAACUUGGACUGCUGGACAACUUAGAUGGACAACUCCACAAUAUGCAAAAAAGGUUUGCAAGGUGAAAGACAAGACUUGUAAAGGUCAUUAAAUACCUAAGAUGGAG
Non-coding RNA from Zonotrichia albicollis (white-throated sparrow), 4787 nucleotides. The record is from RefSeq and is a predicted model, not a curated record. NCBI's taxonomy places the organism in Eukaryota, Metazoa, Chordata, Aves, Passeriformes, Passerellidae.